Non-coding RNA from Ailuropoda melanoleuca (giant panda), 73 nucleotides. Lineage: Eukaryota; Metazoa; Chordata; Mammalia; Carnivora; Ursidae. The record is from Rfam.
GCACAGCUGGCUCAGUUGGUGGAGCGUGUGACUCCUGGUCUCGGGGUUAUGAGUUCAAGCCCCAUGUUGGGUG